RNAcentral lists this ribosomal RNA (305 nucleotides) under uncultured bacterium. Its description in RNAcentral is "bacterial SSU rRNA". It matches the Rfam family "Bacterial small subunit ribosomal RNA", at positions 338 to 660 of the family's 1533-position model. The record is from RNAcentral.
CCUACGGGGGGCAGCAGUGGGGAAUAUUGCACAAUGGGGGAAACCCUGAUGCAGCAACGCCGCGUGGGUGAAGGAGCGUUUCGGCGCGUAAAGCCCUGUCAGCGGGGAAGAAGAAAGACGGUACCCGACCAAGAAGCCCCGGCUAACUACGUGCCAGCAGCCGCGGUAAUACGGAGGAUGCGAGCGUUAUCCGGAUUUAUUGGGUUUAAAGGGUGCGCAGGCGGAAGAUCAAGUCAGCGGUAAAAUUGAGAGGCUCAACCUCUUCGAGCCGUUGAAACUGGUUUUCUUGAGUGAGUGAGAAGUAU